RNAcentral lists this microRNA precursor (104 nucleotides) under Marmota monax (woodchuck). The record is from RNAcentral. Lineage: Eukaryota; Metazoa; Chordata; Mammalia; Rodentia; Sciuridae.
AUAUGAAUUUCCUACUGACCUUGUUAAAAUGCAGGUUCUGGUUCAGUAGGUCUGAGGGGUGACCUGAGAAUCUGAUUUCUGGCAAAUUCAUGGGUGAUACUGAU